RNAcentral lists this ribosomal RNA (492 nucleotides) under uncultured bacterium. RNAcentral's name for it is "partial 16S ribosomal RNA". It matches the Rfam family "Bacterial small subunit ribosomal RNA", at positions 29 to 507 of the family's 1533-position model. The record is from RNAcentral.
AGUGAACGCUGGCGGUAGGCCUAACACAUGCAAGUCGAACGGCAGCACAGUAAGAUCUUGCUCUUACGGGUGGCGAGUGGCGUACGGGUGAGGAAUAUAUCGGAAUCUACUUUUUCGGGGGGGAUAACGUAGGUAAACUUACGCUAAUACCGCAUACGACCUACGGGUGAAAGCAGGGGAUCUUCUGACCUUGCGCGAUUGAAUGAGCCGAUGUCGGAUUGGCUGGUUGGGGGGGUAAAUGCCCACCAAGUGGACGAUCCGUAGCUGGUCUGGGAGAAUGAUAGGCCACACUGGAGCGGGGACACGGUCAGGGCUACUACGGGAGGCAGCAGACGGGAAUAUUGGACAAUAGGCGGAAGCAUGGUCCAGCCGUACCGCGUGGGUUGAAGAGGCGUUGGGGUUGUAAAGCCCUUUUGUUGGGAAAGAAAAGCAGCAGGUUAAUACCAAGCUGUUCUGACGGUAACCAAAGAAUAAGCACCGGCUAACUUCGUG